UUAACUCUAAUUUGUAUGGAGUUGUAACGUUGCCUACGUUUGCCGCUAGGGGCGCUGUUCCAACUGCAUACAUACGUUA
RNAcentral lists this microRNA precursor (79 nucleotides) under Bombyx mori (domestic silkworm). RNAcentral's name for it is "mir-2807 microRNA precursor family". It matches the Rfam family "mir-2807 microRNA precursor family". The record is from Rfam by way of RNAcentral. Lineage: Eukaryota; Metazoa; Arthropoda; Insecta; Lepidoptera; Bombycidae.